RNAcentral lists this long non-coding RNA (1129 nucleotides) under Salmo salar (Atlantic salmon). Its description in RNAcentral is "lncRNA (ENSSSAG00000121411.1)". Lineage: Eukaryota; Metazoa; Chordata; Actinopteri; Salmoniformes; Salmonidae. The record is from RNAcentral.
CUUUAAACAGUUACAGAAAAAGUAUUUUAAUAAGACACAUAUAAUGUUAUGGUAUCAUAUAUUUGUGAAGGGUUGGCACAGGAAAUAAUCUAUUUGCAGAUUCUAUAUAUCGUCAAUAGAUGCAGAAAUGAACAGACAUGAUCCCCAAAAUUAUAACAGUUUGCAUACAGGCACACAUACAGUAUGUUAAACAGUUCAAUCACAUGAAAACUAACCACCAUUCUUAGGAAAACCCUUACGAAAAUGUAAAUCAGCUUUGAUUCGUGACUAUGCAGUAUUAGCUCUAUAGACUACCAGGUGAUAUGUGCAGCCCAACAAACGUAACGAUUGUGAUGUCCCCCUGUGUAUGAUUAUAAUAAUAAAUGGUAUAUGUAUAUAUAAUACAUAUUAUGUAUCAUAUAUUUGAUAUUUCUCAUCAAUUAUAUAUUUGCAUCCAUGUACAGUUCCUGCCAAGUUAAAAAGGACAUUGUAAAGUGCACGUGUUAAUCAUUAAUCAAAACAUCAAAAUUUCCCCCACUCCUCCAAUAUAUGUUGAGUAUAUUCCAAUAGUACCUCUUUAUCUCAAGCUGAGCUUUAUGCAUCUAUUCUACAAACCAUCCUAUGAACUUAUCUGAAACCGUUGUAUGCACUUCACAAGUUCUUUCAGACUAGUUCUAUUUUUACACCAAGUGAAAAAAAAUGAAGCAAAACGUUAUAUAUCGCAUUACAUCAUUAGGUGCAUUAAUCUGUCAAAGCAAGGGUAAAUGCUGCAUAAUUUAUAGAGAGAGAGGUUAAGUUUAACAGCACAGGCAACUGAAGAUGGAUGUUUCUCCCAGUACAAGUCACUAACCACACCUCUUUCUACCUAUCAAGCCUUUCAACCAAACAUAUAUUUGACCUCCAUGACAAAGAACAACUCUGAAAUACUCCACAAAGACUUGACCAGACCAGUUACAGCCUCUGUCCCUCAAAGAACUUGCUCUUACCACCAUCCCUUCAAUAGUGCGAUCAGAUUAUCAAAAACGAUGUAUCUAACAAAUCAAAAGUUCAUUUCCAGAUUAUUUUUGGGCGGGGCAAAUAAGGGGUGUUUCCUUUUUAUUUGGUCUUCUCUGGUUCUGUUUGUACUCCUGCAUCUGACUGGCGUUUCCCC